CCCGGACCUUGUACACACCGCCCGUCAAGCCAUGGAAGCCGGGUGUACCUAAAGUCGGUAGCCUAACCGCAAGGAGGGCGCUUACCACGGUGUGGCCAAUGACUGGGGUG
This 110-nucleotide ribosomal RNA is filed under the name uncultured bacterium. RNAcentral's name for it is "partial 16S ribosomal RNA". It matches the Rfam family "Bacterial small subunit ribosomal RNA", at positions 1373 to 1482 of the family's 1533-position model. The record is from RNAcentral.